GCCUAGAUGGCUCGGUUGGUGGAGCAUGAGACUCCUGAUCUCGGGGUUGUGGGUUCAAGCCCCACAUUAGGUA
Molecule: transfer RNA, 73 nt
Organism: Felis catus (domestic cat)
Lineage: Eukaryota; Metazoa; Chordata; Mammalia; Carnivora; Felidae
Rfam family: tRNA
About the family: Transfer RNA (tRNA) molecules are approximately 80 nucleotides in length.
Source: Rfam